GUAAUAGCUGACUCAUCGAGCGAUGUCGCGCCGAAAAUGAUUGGCGAUUAAAUUACAUACCGAAGCUGCGGAUUUGUGAGGUCUUUGGACCGCAUAAGUGGUAGGAGAGCGUAAUCGAUGCUGCGAAGCUGGACGGAAACGGAAAGUGGAGCGUCGAUUAGUGAGAAUGCAGACACGAGUAGCGAUAAACAAGGUGAGAAUCCUUGUCGCCGUAAACCCAAGGUUUCCUGGGCUAGGUUCGUCCUCCCAGGGUUAGCCGGGAGCUAAGAUGAGGCCGUAAGGCGUAAUCGAUGCACAGCAGGUUAAAUAUUCCUGCGCCGGGUAAGAAUUAGUGAAAGAUUGACGCAACAAUACACAUCAACACGCUCAUUGAAAGAGCAAGCCUAGGUCUUUGACCAAAGCAAGUUGGUGGGUUAAUUGCCUAGAAAAGAUUUUUCAUAUGUCUUACUCGCCCGUACCGUAAACCGACACAGGUGGGUGAGUGUAAAUGCACUAAGGCGCGCGAGAGAGACCUCUCUAAGGAACUCGGCACAUUAGCCUCGUAACUUCGGGAAAAGAGGUGCUCACUUCGGUGAGCCACAGUAAAUUGCGUUUAGCGACUGUUUAACAAAAACACAGCACUCUGCUAAGUCGUUAAGACGACGUAUAGGGUGUGACACGUGACCAAUGCGGAAAGAUUAAGGCAUUUUGUUAGCCGCAAGGCGAAGCUCGGUGCCAAAGUCCCCGUGAAUGUCGGCCGUAACUAUAACGGUCCUAAGGUAGCGAAAUUCCUUGUCGGGUAAGUUCCGACCUGCACGAAUCGUGUAACGACUGAACGACUGUCUCGGAGAGGAUCUCGGCGAAACUGUAACUGCGGUGAAGAUGCCGCAUGCCCGCAGUAGGACGGAAAGACCCUAUGCACCUUUACUGUAAGCUGGUAUUGUGUUCUGAUUAAUAAUGCGUAGCGUAGGUGGGAGGCUUUGAAGUGAGUGCUUCGGUGCUCAUGGAGCCGCAAUGUGAAACACCACUCUUUGCUAAUUAGGAUUCUAACCUCGAUUCCUGUCAACCAGGCGAGGGACAGUGCUUGCGGGUCAGUUUGACUGGGGCGGUUUCCUCCCAAAGAGUAACGGAGGAGCGCGAAGCUUGGCUCAGCACGGUUGGCAACCGUGCGUCGAGCGUAUGGGUAUAAGCCAGGUUAACUGUGAGACCUACAAGUCGAGCAGAUGCGAAAGCAGGCCCAAAUGAUCCGAUGGUUUAAUGUGGAAUUGCCAUCGCUCAACGGACAAAAGGUACGCUAGGGAUAACAGGCUGAUCGGUUCCAAGAGUUCACAUCGACGAACCGGUUUGGCACCUCGAUGUCGGCUCAUCGCAUCCUGGGCCAA
This 1361-nucleotide ribosomal RNA is filed under the name metagenome. RNAcentral describes it as "bacterial LSU rRNA". It matches the Rfam family "Bacterial large subunit ribosomal RNA", at positions 1134 to 2555 of the family's 2925-position model. The record is from RNAcentral.